Molecule: ribosomal RNA, 253 nt
Filed under: uncultured bacterium
Lineage: Bacteria
Description: partial 16S ribosomal RNA
Rfam family: Bacterial small subunit ribosomal RNA
Source: RNAcentral
UACGGAGGGUGCAAGCGUUGCUCGGAAUUAUUGGGCGUAAAGGGUAGGUAGGUGGUCUCAUUUGUCUGGGGUGAAAGCCUUGAGCUUAACUCAAGAAGUGCCCCGGAAACGGUGAGACUCGAGUGCUGGAGAGGGUCGUGGAAUUCCCGGUGUAGCGGUGAAAUGCGUAGAGAUCGGGAGGAACACCAGAGGCGAAGGCGGCGACCUGGGCCAAUACUGACGCUGAGGCGCGAAAGCGUGGGGAGCGAACAGG